AAUGAUUCUUUAACAGUCUCCUCUUUGGCUUCCUCCGUGCACAACGUAUCUCUCUCUCGCUCUGCAUCUGGAUCCUCUUCCAUCUGGGUCGCGGGUGUGCCAGGGCAAGUAAAGUGUGUCCUAAAGGCUUUUCGCCACGUGAGCCUCGUCCACUCACACCCCCCACCUGCGUGCCUAGUGACACCCCCUGCCACACCCGUCCCAGCAACGACAAGCUGAGCCAUCAGGCGAAGAUGGAUUCGCCGAACCCAGUGCACGGGAGGAUCUACGCCUUGGAGGGACUCCCCAGAUUUUCUAUCAUCCUUCUCCUCCUUCCGAUAAAUCCACCCGCUUGGAAACCCGAGAAGACAAACGACGCUGUAAGAAUGAAACCCACGAGGACGAAUAUUGGAAGAAGUAUCGACACAAUCGGGAUGAGGAGCGUGGUAAAGAAAAUUCGUCCGGUUCCAAAAUCUGUGUAAAAUAAUCCGCCCGACCAGUUUCCUGUCCAUCUUCCACCGCUUGGCAAAACGUUGACUCCAAGGUCCGAAAUGCAAAUGAAGAUUCAGACCAAGAUGCGUAAGUUAUUAUUGGGAUAAAAAGUGGGACACAACAAUGUGCAAGGAUGAGAGUGAUGCUGUACCAGGUUGCAAAAAAUCGGUAUUUUAAAUUUUAAUGCAUACAUUUGUCUAAUAACAUGUGUUAUUUGUAAGUACUACAUAUGAUUCACCAAAUACCAAAUACAGUACAUGCAUAGCCAACUUUGUACAAUUUUCCUACGUAUGUAUUUAUGCAUUAUAAUUAUUUUACGAACUUUACCAAAAUACUUCGAAGAUGUGGGCAAAUUUACAAUAAAUUUUACUCUGAGCUUUUUUAA
This is a long non-coding RNA of Folsomia candida, 856 nucleotides long. RefSeq lists it as uncharacterized. NCBI's taxonomy places the organism in Eukaryota, Metazoa, Arthropoda, Collembola, Entomobryomorpha, Isotomidae. The transcript has 4 exons. The record is from RefSeq and is a predicted model, not a curated record.